Molecule: ribosomal RNA, 478 nt
Filed under: Escherichia coli
Lineage: Bacteria; Pseudomonadati; Pseudomonadota; Gammaproteobacteria; Enterobacterales; Enterobacteriaceae
Also listed under: 2 other names
Description: partial 23S ribosomal RNA
Rfam family: Bacterial large subunit ribosomal RNA
Source: RNAcentral
ACGGAUAAAAGGUACUCCGGGGAUAACAGGCUGAUACCGCCCAAGAGUUCAUAUCGACGGCGGUGUUUGGCACCUCGAUGUCGGCUCAUCACAUCCUGGGGCUGAAGUAGGUCCCAAGGGUAUGGCUGUUCGCCAUUUAAAGUGGUACGCGAGCUGGGUUUAGAACGUCGUGAGACAGUUCGGUCCCUAUCUGCCGUGGGCGCUGGAGAACUGAGGGGGGCUGCUCCUAGUACGAGAGGACCGGAGUGGACGCAUCACUGGUGUUCGGGUUGUCAUGCCAAUGGCACUGCCCGGUAGCUAAAUGCGGAAGAGAUAAGUGCUGAAAGCAUCUAAGCACGAAACUUGCCCCGAGAUGAGUUCUCCCUGACCCUUUAAGGUCCUGAAGGAACGUUGAAGACGACGACGUUGAUAGGCCGGGUGUGUAAGCGCAGCGAUGCGUUGAGCUAACCGGUACUAAUGAACCGUGAGGCUUAACCUU